Molecule: long non-coding RNA, 290 nt
Filed under: Aquilegia coerulea
Lineage: Eukaryota; Viridiplantae; Streptophyta; Magnoliopsida; Ranunculales; Ranunculaceae
Description: long non-coding RNA (ACOE_LNC000901)
Source: RNAcentral
CGCCUUUUCAAGAGAGCGACAUCGCAAGAAUAUAAGGGGGACUACAUAAGAAUCUAAAUCCCACCAUCUCACGGAUGGAGACUCCUCUGAAUCCUCCAAACUGCUAUUGUCACUCAUUGUACUGGUACAAGCAUGUCCUAUAUUACAUACAGCCUGGCAAGCUGGAGUCUUGCACCUUUAUCUUCACCAGGCUCCAAUGCGACAUGCUUUCUAUGACCUCGAAAGAUGAUCUUCGUUUGAUAACCAUAGCCAAAUGAUUGAAUGAUUGGUACCUCUUGGAACUGCGGCUA